AACAAGAAAGCGCAUCACGACGGGACGGGGCGAGGCGCAAAGGAAGGCAGGCAGGCAGGGAGGGUUGAUCUGGUGAUGUGAUUUCGUUUUAUGCCAUUGUACUUUUUUGACGAUAAUUUAGAGACACUAUUCUUUGUCAACUUUCUUUCGCUUUCAAGCUUAUACUUUGUUACAGUUGACUAUACUAAGGCUUUCUACUAAUUACGUUUAGCGUGAAGAAGAUUUAACGAAAGCUAUUUUUAUACGUUAAAAGUGCUUUUUUGACGAAAUGAUUGGCUAGACUUUUUCUAAUAGGAAAGAAAAACUAUGAAAUAAGCAAUUCUAUGUAAUAGAAUGGUAUGCUGAUUUUACUAUUAGCUAAUGUUCAACCAGCUGAAUAAUAGCUUAAACAAAGCACAGCUAUGACCGUGUUAUCCUAUUUUAUUAAGCUAGUUUUAAAUCUAUUCUUCUUUCAAUGAGAUUUUUAUGAAGUGCCUUGACUUAAGAAGCUUUUUUUCGAUACUUGCUUUCUCAUUCUUAAUGUCAGCAACGCCUUUACAAAAUGGCGGUCGCGACGGCAAGCAGAUGCAUGAUAGCGAGGGCGAACCAUAGACUGUAUAAAAACGGGCGAUCAAGUCUACAACAAGCCUACAGUAGAUUUUAUAUAUAUAUAUAUAUUUAUAUAUUAAAAAAAAGCUUAUGUUUCUUUUGUCUGCAAACCAUAACAUAACAAUCAGUAACCGCUUACUGCUAAGAUAAACACCAGACAGUCAGAAAAUUAGUCUUUUUAUUUCUUUUUGAAGCCUUUGGAGAAGCCCGUCUCGUUGCUUUUAUUAGGAAGAAACUAUUGAACAUCAAGUGAGUUUAUACUUGGGAAGAAAUGGACGAUGCUUAGUCGCAGCUUAUUUGUUUCUGAAGAUUUUUGUUUUUUACGUAAAACCAAUAUUUCGACCACCAAUUCAUAAGUCUAAACCAUUAUAAUCAGCUACUAUGACCACUUCUGCGUGCUUGAACGACCCACCUAAGUUACAUGAUCGCUUUUAUGGACUGAGUCACAUGUUGCGUAACAGCUGUGAAAUGGGAGCUUAGCUUGUUUUUCAUGAUCCUAAAAUAUCAGCAAAAGACUGAAGUACGGCGUAAAGGAGAAAUGGACUGAGUUUAAUUUAUCCAGUAACGACCUAGCGCUUAGAUGACAACGGAUGGAAGAAAAGAUCCACAGCAGAGGCCAGGACCAGGGAGAAUCAGGACAAGAUGGCGAGCCAGGCAGGACCAGAGGGGAACCGGGGAGGAUCAGAGGGCACAGAGCAGGGCGAAGAUCAGCAACAGCAGCAGUAUCCAGAUGGGGGAGCCAGAUCCACAAGGCAGAUUAGCGUCAGAACAACUUUCGCCACCAGAGGGAGCUCAGCUGGUCUAGAUCAGAGCAAGCCAAAGAUGAAUGUCCCAACAACAGCAGCAGAGAAAGAAAGAGGGCUCACAAGCAGAGAGUAUCAGGGGUCUUCGCCAUAGCAAAGUCAUGGAGAGGGCAUUUGGUUUGUAUGGGUAGAGGUAUCCGGUGUAAUAUUGAAGUCAUUUCAGUAGUUUGCAUUCCAGAACACUUUUGCUCGCGAAGUUCUGUUCUUUCCUUUUCAGGCGUGGUGAGUGACACUGUUUGAAAUUCCGAUGUGUCAUCUUUCCUGUUGUUGGCCAAGUCUGAUGAAUGGCGUUAGUGUGCUGUGGAGAUGACCAUCCUUAAUCGACCACGCCUCCGCUACGUUUUGGCUAUAGGCCCGUGGAAGAGUCGUCCCUUUAUCCGCUUAAAUCCAUUAGGUCUGUCCUGAGAAGCAAUCUACAUGCGAAGGGUUUUUCGGAGUUGAAGUUCCCCUGCGUCCCUACACGGCACAACUACCUCUACUGCCACCGCCGCUGCGUCAGUCCGACAUAUGAUGCCAGGGCAGCUGCGUAUUGCCUGCCGGUAAAAAUUUUGACGAGUUCAUGCAUGAAUUUUAAUGAUAUAUUAAAGCAACAGCGCUUUUAUUGAUAAAAAAA
Molecule: long non-coding RNA, 2004 nt
Organism: Sinocyclocheilus grahami
Lineage: Eukaryota; Metazoa; Chordata; Actinopteri; Cypriniformes; Cyprinidae
Exons: 2
Source: RefSeq, a predicted model, not a curated record